GUCCAGUUGGGCGAGUUCGGCAUCUCGUUGCCGCUGAGGUCGGCGUCGAAACCGCGACCGAAGUUCGGAGCCUCGGUCAGGGCG
RNAcentral lists this transfer RNA (84 nucleotides) under compost metagenome. RNAcentral's name for it is "tRNA-Leu". The record is from RNAcentral.